AUUGAACGCUGGCGGCGUGCUUAACACAUGCAAGUCGAGCGGUAGCAGGCGUAGCAAUACGUGCUGACGAGCGGCGAACGGGUGAGUAAUGCUUCGGAAUCUUCCUAGUAGUGGGGAAUAACCUGGGGAAACUCAGGCUAAUACCGCAUACGACCUACGGGUGAAAGCAGGGGAUCGCAAGACCUUGCGCUAUUAGAUGAGCCGAAGUCGGACUAGCUAGUUGGUGAGGUAAAGGCUCACCAAGGCGACGAUCCGUAGCUGGUCUGAGAGGACGACCAGCCACACUGGGACUGAGACACGGCCCAGACUCCUACGGGAGGCAGCAGUGGGGAAUAUUGGACAAUGGGGGCAACCCUGAUCCAGCGACGCCGCGUGUGUGAAGAAGGCCUGCGGGUUGUAAAGCACUUUUAGUGGGGACAAAAAGCCAAGGGUUAAUACCCUUUGGUCUUGAUUUAACCCAAAGGAAAAGCACCGGCUAACUCUGUGCCAGCCGCCGCGGUAA
Molecule: ribosomal RNA, 502 nt
Filed under: uncultured bacterium
Lineage: Bacteria
Description: partial 16S ribosomal RNA
Rfam family: Bacterial small subunit ribosomal RNA
Source: RNAcentral